This 65-nucleotide transfer RNA is filed under the name Pseudoregma panicola. RNAcentral describes it as "tRNA-Leu". Lineage: Eukaryota; Metazoa; Arthropoda; Insecta; Hemiptera; Hormaphididae. The record is from RNAcentral.
UUUAAUAUAUCAUAUUUAAUGUAUUGAAUUUAAGAUUCAAAGAAAAAAUUAAUUUUUUAUUAAAA